GGAAAAGUCUCCGAAUUGGAUCGAGGUUUUGGCUACCCCACCAUUGUCAGGCAUCCCGAGCGCGUUCCCGAAGUCGGAAUCGGCAAAGGUGAGCCGGGACAGCCUUCUUCCUCCGCCCAGCCGCCACAGUGAUUGCCGUCAAGUCUGCCACAGGAGGAUAUUUUAUUCUGGGUUAACCUGCUUUUCUACUUCGCAGGUUGUUUAUCAAUAUUUGUGUAAUUUUAUUUACUCCUAGAAUUUCCGCAUGUGUUAGAAGUAUUUAUUGAUUAUGGUCUGUAAUAUUAUUAUCAUGUUGGACCUGUAAACGUAUAAUGAUAUGCAUGUUUGAUGGA
Molecule: long non-coding RNA, 332 nt
Organism: Hevea brasiliensis (rubber tree)
Lineage: Eukaryota; Viridiplantae; Streptophyta; Magnoliopsida; Malpighiales; Euphorbiaceae
Exons: 3
Source: RefSeq, a predicted model, not a curated record